ACCUUAGGGGCAAGAGGCCUCCAAGCGUCCUCCAGGUUAUCCCUCGCUUCUUGAUCAUUGGAGAUCUUUGGCCUAAGAGUGGUUUGGAUUUGAGGGCUCUAAGGGUCCUCUAGGGUUAGCCCUCACUCCUCACAUGAUCAAAGAUUUUUUCGGAUCAUCUUGCCUUAGAGACGAGGGGCCUCCGAGGAUUCCCUAGAUUAUCCCUCACUUUUUGGUCACCCA
RNAcentral lists this long non-coding RNA (222 nucleotides) under Elaeis guineensis (African oil palm). RNAcentral's name for it is "long non-coding RNA (EGUI_LNC030982)". Lineage: Eukaryota; Viridiplantae; Streptophyta; Magnoliopsida; Arecales; Arecaceae. The record is from RNAcentral.